GACGAACGCUGGCGGCGUGCUUAACACAUGCAAGUCGAACGGAAAGGCCCUGCUUUUGUGGGGUGCUCGAGUGGCGAACGGGUGAGUAACACGUGAGUAACCUGCCCUUGACUUUGGGAUAACUUCAGGAAACUGGGGCUAAUACCGGAUAGGAGCUCCUGCUGCAUGGUGGGGGUUGGAAAGUUUCGGCGGUUGGGGAUGGACUCGCGGCUUAUCAGCUUGUUGGUGGGGUAGUGGCUUACCAAGGCUUUGACGGGUAGCCGGCCUGAGAGGGUGACCGGCCACAUUGGGACUGAGAUGCGGCCCAGACUCCUACGGGAGGCAGCAGUGGGGGAUAUUGCACAAUGGGCGGAAGCCUGAUGCAGCAACGCCGCGUGCGGGAUGACGGCCUUCGGGUUGUAAACCGCUUUCGCCUGUGACGAAGCGUGAGUGACGGUAAUGGGUAAAGAAGCACCGGCUAACUACGUG
This 468-nucleotide ribosomal RNA is filed under the name uncultured bacterium. RNAcentral's name for it is "partial 16S ribosomal RNA". It matches the Rfam family "Bacterial small subunit ribosomal RNA", at positions 28 to 507 of the family's 1533-position model. The record is from RNAcentral.